AUGUCUACGUCAGAGGGUUCGGAGACUGCUGAUUCCAUGGAUGAGGAUACGAGUCAAAUACCACAUGUUAGAAGGUCCAAGGUAUGGGAGCAUUAUGAAGUAGAUUUGGUUCUCGUAGAUGGCGAUUUCAAGGUUGUGUGCAGAUACUGUGGAGCACAACUUCACACCAAGUUUGGGACUAGCAGUUUGAGGACCCAUAUUGCAGAGGCUUGCCGAUCAAUCCAAGAUGCUUGCAGACAAAGGUUUUUGUUGACCAUGAAAACAAACAGCUGA
This 273-nucleotide ribosomal RNA is filed under the name Triticum aestivum (bread wheat). RNAcentral's name for it is "partial small subunit ribosomal RNA". Lineage: Eukaryota; Viridiplantae; Streptophyta; Magnoliopsida; Poales; Poaceae. The record is from RNAcentral.